GAAAGCAGGUUGGUAUAGCUAAUUAAUCCAAGCGUUUUUUUUAGCCCCAAUUCAGGUGAGAAUUUACGGCAAAGAAGAGCACAAGUUCGAGGUGGGCCAUUUCUUCUCAGACGAACCUGGCUAUUACCAAGACAAUGAAUGGGGCAUUCGUCUGGAGACCAUUUUGAGCGUCAUCACUAAGGAAACCAAGUACAAGUUCGGUGGACAGUGGUUAGGUUUUGAGGCCAUCACGUUGGUGCCAUUCGAAUUCAAGCUCAUCAAUUCCUCCAUGCUGAGUAACGUGCAGUGUCACUGGCUGAACUCGUACCACGCCCGCGUGCUCGAAGUCGUCGGGGCGGAACUUCGACGACAAGGGCGCGUGGAGGCCUAUGAUUGGCUCGUGCUGAAGACCGACCCGCUCGUCUGCGCCCACGUGGACGAAAGGACA
This is a long non-coding RNA of Penaeus monodon (black tiger shrimp), 427 nucleotides long. RefSeq lists it as uncharacterized. The transcript is spliced from 4 exons. NCBI's taxonomy places the organism in Eukaryota, Metazoa, Arthropoda, Malacostraca, Decapoda, Penaeidae. The record is from RefSeq and is a predicted model, not a curated record.